AAUAAGUUAGAGGAUGAUGUCCUGGGUAUAUCUGAUGAGAUAUUUACUUCUUUUGAGUAGUGAAUUUUAGAUUUUGCAUACACCUAUCAUGUAUGUUGUAGAGAGGAGCAGUUUGAUUUUUUGAAAAGCAGUGAGGGUACUAUUUAUCUGUCAGAUAAAUCGAGUUGUGCAAUCAGAGGCCCCAAAAUAGUCAAUUGGAGGACACAUGAUGAUGUAGUGAGG
Molecule: long non-coding RNA, 222 nt
Filed under: Elaeis guineensis (African oil palm)
Lineage: Eukaryota; Viridiplantae; Streptophyta; Magnoliopsida; Arecales; Arecaceae
Description: long non-coding RNA (EGUI_LNC055735)
Source: RNAcentral